Molecule: ribosomal RNA, 500 nt
Filed under: uncultured bacterium
Lineage: Bacteria
Description: bacterial SSU rRNA
Rfam family: Bacterial small subunit ribosomal RNA
Source: RNAcentral
ACUCAAAGGAAUUGACGGGGGCCCGCACAAGCGGUGGAGCAUGUGGUUUAAUUCGACGCAACGCGAAGAACCUUACCAGGUCUUGACAUCUUCUUGACCGGUGCAGAGAUGUACCUUUCCCUUCGGGGACAAGAGGACAGGUGGUGCAUGGUUGUCGUCAGCUCGUGUCGUGAGAUGUUGGGUUAAGUCCCGCAACGAGCGCAACCCUUGUUGUUAGUUGUCAGCACGUAAAGGUGGACCCUCUAACGAGACUGCCGGUGACAAACCGGAGGAAGGUGGGGAUGACGUCAAAUCAUCAUGCCCUUUAUGACCUGGGCUACACACGUGCUACAAUGGCCUAUACAGAGGGAAGCGAAGCCGCGAGGUGGAGCGAAUCCCAGAAAGUAGGUCUCAGUUCGGAUCGCAGGCUGCAACUCGCCUGCGUGAAGUCGGAAUCGCUAGUAAUCGCGGAUCAGCAUGCCGCGGUGAAUACGUUCCCGGGCCUUGUACACACCGCCCGU